Molecule: ribosomal RNA, 453 nt
Filed under: uncultured bacterium
Lineage: Bacteria
Description: bacterial SSU rRNA
Rfam family: Bacterial small subunit ribosomal RNA
Source: RNAcentral
UACGGAAGGCAGCAGUGGGGAAUAUUGCACAAUGGGCGCAAGCCUGAUGCAGCCAUGCCGCGUGUAUGAAAAAGGCCUUCGGGUUGUAAAGUACUUUCAGUCGUGAGGAAGGUGUUAAGGUUAAUAACCUUAGCAAUUGACGUUAGCGACAGAAGAAGCACCGGCUAACUCCGUGCCAGCAGCCGCGGUAAUACGGAGGGUGCGAGCGUUAAUCGGAAUUACUGGGCGUAAAGGGCACGCAGGCGGUUAAUUAAGUUGGAUGUGAAAUCCCCGGGCUUAACCUGGGAAUGGCAUUCAAGACUGGUUAGCUAGAGUCUUGUAGAGGGGGUUAGAAUUCCAUGUGUAGCGGUGAAAUGCGUAGAGAUGUGGAGGAAUACCGGUGGCGAAGGCGGCCCCUGGACAAAGACUGACGCUCAUGUGCGAAAGCGUGGGGAGCGAAACAGGGAUUAGAUA